Molecule: ribosomal RNA, 442 nt
Filed under: uncultured bacterium
Lineage: Bacteria
Description: SSU rRNA
Rfam family: Bacterial small subunit ribosomal RNA
Source: RNAcentral
GGAGCGAACGCUGGCGGCAGGCUUAACACAUGCAAGUCGAGCGCCUCGCAAGGGGAGCGGCAGACGGGAGAGUAACACGUGGGAACGUACCUUUCGGUUCGGAACAACCCAGGGAAACUUGGGCUAAUACCGAAUACGUCCGUAAGGAGAAAGAUUUAUCGCUGAAGGAUCGGCCCGCGUCUGAUUAGCUUGUUGGUGAGGUAACGGCUCACCAAGGCGACGAUCAGUAGCUGGUCUGAGAGGAUGAUCAGCCACACUGGGACUGAGACACGGCCCAGACUCCUACGGGAGGCAGCAGUAGGGAAUCUUGCGCAAUGGGCGAAAGCCUGACGCAGCCAUGCCGCGUGAAUGAUGAAGGUCUUAGGAUUGUAAAAUUCUUUCAGCGGGGACGAUAAUGACGGUACCGCAGAAGAGCCCCGGCUAACUUCGUGCCAGCAGCCGC